RNAcentral lists this ribosomal RNA (301 nucleotides) under uncultured bacterium. Its description in RNAcentral is "partial 16S ribosomal RNA". It matches the Rfam family "Archaeal small subunit ribosomal RNA", at positions 462 to 763 of the family's 1478-position model. The record is from RNAcentral.
UAGCCACGGGAAUACCAGCACCUCGAGUGGUCAGGAGGUUUAUUGGGCCUAAAGCAUCCGUAGCCGGUUGCAUAAGUUUUCGGUUAAAUCUAUGCGCUUAACGUAUAGGCCGCCGAAAAUACUGUGCAGCUAGGGAGUGGGAGAGGUACACGGUACUCGAUAGGAAGGGGUAAAAUCCUUUGAUCUAUUGAUGACCACCUGUGGCGAAGGCGGUGUACCAGAACACGUUCGACGGUGAGGGAUGAAAGCUGGGGGAGCAAACCGGAUUAGAUACCCCCGUAGUCCCUGUCUCUUAUACACA